AGAGUGAACGCUGGCGGUAGGCCUAACACAUGCAAGUCGAACGGCAGCACAGUGGUAGCAAUACCAUGGGUGGCGAGUGGCGGACGGGUGAGGAAUACAUCGGAAUCUACCCUUUCGUGGGGGGAUAACGUAGGGAAACUUACGCUAAUACCGCAUACGCCCUUCGGGGGAAAGCCGGGGAUCGCAAGACCUGGCGCGGAUAGAUGAGCCGGAUGUCGGAUUAGCUAGUUGGUGAGGUAAUGGCUCACCAAGGCGACGAUCCGUAGCUGGUCUGAGAGGAUGAUCAGCCACACUGGAACUGAGACACGGUCCAGGACUCCUACGGGAGCAGCAGUGGGGAAUAUGGACAAUGGGCGCAAGCCUGAUCCAGCCAUACCGCGUGGGUGAAGAAGGCCUUCGGUUAGUAAGUCCCGUUUUAGGUUUAGGAAAGAAAGUACGAAUACGGUUAAGUAACCCGGUUGUUACUUAGACGGUACCCAAAG
This 482-nucleotide ribosomal RNA is filed under the name uncultured soil bacterium. RNAcentral's name for it is "bacterial SSU rRNA". It matches the Rfam family "Bacterial small subunit ribosomal RNA", at positions 26 to 484 of the family's 1533-position model. The record is from RNAcentral.